UGAACGCUGGCGGAAUGCUUUACACAUGCACGUCGACCGGCAGCACGGGGGCAGCCCUGGUGGCGAGUGGCGAACGGGUGAGUAAUACAUCGGAACGUGCCCGGUCGUGGGGGAUAACGUAGCGAAAGUUACGCCAAUACCGCAUACGAUCUGAGGAUGAAAGCGGGGGACCUUCGGGCCUCGCGCGAUCGGAGCGGCCGAUGUCAGAUUAGGUAGUUGGUGGGGUAAAGGCCUACCAAGCCGACGAUCUGUAGCCGGUCUGAGAGGACGACCAGCCACACUGGGACUGAGACACGGCCCAGACUCCUACGGGAGGCAGCAGUGGGGAAUUUUGGACAAUGGGCGCAAGCCUGAUCCAGCCAUUCCGCGUGCAGGACGAAGGCCUUCGGGUUGUAAACUGCUUUUGUACGGAACGAAAAGGCUCUGGCUAAUACCUGGGGCUCAUGACGGUACCGUAAGAAUAAGCACCGGCUAACUACGUG
This 482-nucleotide ribosomal RNA is filed under the name uncultured bacterium. Its description in RNAcentral is "partial 16S ribosomal RNA". It matches the Rfam family "Bacterial small subunit ribosomal RNA", at positions 30 to 507 of the family's 1533-position model. The record is from RNAcentral.